Molecule: long non-coding RNA, 822 nt
Filed under: Equus caballus (horse)
Lineage: Eukaryota; Metazoa; Chordata; Mammalia; Perissodactyla; Equidae
Description: lncRNA (ENSECAG00000030112.2)
Source: RNAcentral
UUGAAAUUCCCAUGAAAUGGGGACGCUUCUCUUCACCCAGUGCCACCGCACGUUAAGUACCAGAAGGCUGCCUGUUCUUCCACGAGUACAGAUUGAGAUGCUCAGAGCCCCGGUCAGAACAACAGCGGAACAGUUGGGGGACACUUGAGCCAGGAAUUAGACGAAGGAUGCGUCUCCUGCUUUGUUGUUGGAACUGGCCCUAGAUCACUCACAAACUGUGCUGGUGGAGGACGGCAGAGCAGAGGGAUCUUCCUUCAGGUUGCUCUCCAAGAAGUGGGUAAAGGCUGUUUCUUCACGCCCAAUUAUUACUGGAAGAGCUGCUUCCCUCUCAUCUCAUUCAAUUCUCUAAUUCGACACAUGAGAAACUCUCGACCCAGAGCUUUCAAGCAGUUUCCCUUAGGUAGGAAGUCGGUAGAUAGGAGGUCAGUAGGUAGCAAAUAGGUAGGUAGGUAGAAUGGAAGUGGGUAGGUGGUACAUAGGUAGGAGGGAGGGAGGCAGGUAGGAGGGAGGUGGGCACUCUGCCAGGAACCAGGUCGCCUCGUCCAGCUGUAGCUAGACUUCUCUAUAAGCACGUGAAGAGAUCACUAAAGGAUUUAGACAAUUUGUGUACGGAAGCUUCUCAGUUCAUUCUUAAAAUAGCUAUGUGGCUGUCUGAGGUGUUUGGCUAAAUUGUGAGAAAGAAUAUCCUUGAGACUUUGGGCAUAGCCCUAAAGAGGUGAUUUGCGAGAAUGUCUUGUAUUAUCCUCUCCUGUUUUUCUCAAUGUUCUUUAAACUUUACAUUUAUAAAAAAGCAAAAGAAAGUGAUGUUAUGACUUUUUCCAG